Molecule: ribosomal RNA, 433 nt
Filed under: uncultured bacterium
Lineage: Bacteria
Description: partial 16S ribosomal RNA
Rfam family: Bacterial small subunit ribosomal RNA
Source: RNAcentral
AACGAACGCUGGCGGCAUGCCUAACACAUGCAAGUCGAACGAGACCUUCGGGUCUAGUGGCGCACGGGUGCGUAACGCGUGGGAACCUGCCCUUAGGUUCGGAAUAACUCCCCGAAAGGGGUGCUAAUACCGGAUAAUGCCUUCGGACCAAAGAUUUAUCGCCUUUGGAUGGGCCCGCGUUGGAUUAGCUAGUUGGUAGGGUAAAAGCCUACCAAGGCGACGAUCCAUAGCUGGUCUGAGAGGAUGAUCAGCCACACUGGGACUGAGACACGGCCCAGACUCCUACGGGAGGCAGCAGUGGGGAAUAUUGGACAAUGGGCGAAAGCAUGAUCCAGCAAUGCCGCGUGAGUGAUGAAGGCCUUAGGGUUGUAAAGCUCUUUUACCCGGGAUGAUAAUGACAGUACCGGGAGAAUAAGCUCCGGCUAACUCCGUG